This 468-nucleotide ribosomal RNA is filed under the name uncultured bacterium. RNAcentral describes it as "partial 16S ribosomal RNA". It matches the Rfam family "Bacterial small subunit ribosomal RNA", at positions 28 to 507 of the family's 1533-position model. The record is from RNAcentral.
GACGAACGCUGGCGGCGUGCUUAACACAUGCAAGUCGAACGGAAAGGCCCUGCUUUUGUGGGGUGCUCGAGUGGCGAACGGGUGAGUAACACGUGAGUAUCCUGCCCUUGACUUUGGGAUAACUUCAGGAAACUGGGGCUAAUACCGGAUAGGAGCUCCUGCUGCAUGGUGGGGGUUGGAAAGUUUCGGCGGUUGGGGAUGGACUCGCGGCUUAUCAGCUUGUUGGUGGGGUAGUGGCUUACCAAGGCUUUGACGGGUAGCCGGCCUGAGAGGGUGACCGGCCACAUUGGGACUGAGAUACGGCCCAGACUCCUACGGUAGGCAGCAGUGGGGAAUAUUGCACAAUGGGCGGAAGCCUGAUGCAGCAACGCCGCGGUCGGGAUGACGGCCUUCGGGUUGUAAACCGCUUUCGCCUGUGACGAAGCGUGAGUGACGGUAAUGGGUAAAGAAGCACCGGCUAACUACGUG